This 253-nucleotide ribosomal RNA is filed under the name uncultured bacterium. Its description in RNAcentral is "partial 16S ribosomal RNA". It matches the Rfam family "Bacterial small subunit ribosomal RNA", at positions 524 to 776 of the family's 1533-position model. The record is from RNAcentral.
UACGAAGGGGGCUAGCGUUGCUCGGAAUCACUGGGCGUAAAGCGCACGUAGGCGGAUUGCUAAGUCAGGGGUGAAAUCCUGGAGCUCAACUCCAGAACUGCCUUUGAUACUGGCGAUCUCGAGUCCGGGGGAGGUGAGUGGAACUGCGAGUGUAGAGGUGAAAUUCGUAGAUAUUCGCAAGAACACCAGUGGCGAAGGCGGCUCACUGGCCCGGUACUGACGCUGAGGUGCGAAAGCGUGGGGAGCAAACAGG